Molecule: transfer RNA, 76 nt
Filed under: marine sediment metagenome
Description: tRNA-Ala
Rfam family: tRNA
About the family: Transfer RNA (tRNA) molecules are approximately 80 nucleotides in length. Their secondary structure includes four short double-helical elements and three loops (D, anti-codon, and T loops). Further hydrogen bonds mediate the characteristic L-shaped molecular structure. tRNAs have two regions of fundamental functional importance: the anti-codon, which is responsible for specific mRNA codon recognition, and the 3' end, to which the tRNAs corresponding amino acid is attached (by aminoacyl-tRNA synthetases). tRNAs cope with the degeneracy of the genetic code in two manners: having more than one tRNA (with a specific anti-codon) for a particular amino acid; and 'wobble' base-pairing, i.e. permitting non-standard base-pairing at the 3rd anti-codon position.
Source: RNAcentral
GGGGCCAUAGCUCAGCUGGGAGAGCGCAACACUGGCAGUGUUGAGGUCGACGGUUCGAUCCCGUCUAGCUCCACCA